Molecule: small RNA, 2614 nt
Filed under: Vibrio vulnificus
Lineage: Bacteria; Pseudomonadati; Pseudomonadota; Gammaproteobacteria; Vibrionales; Vibrionaceae
Description: 23S ribosomal RNA
Rfam family: Bacterial large subunit ribosomal RNA
Source: RNAcentral
UUAAGUGACUAAGCGUACACGGUGGAUGCCUUGGCAGUCAGAGGCGAUGAAGGACGUAGUAACUUGCGAUAAGCGUAGAUGAGGCAGUAACAGCCACUUGAGUCUACGAUUUCCGAAUGGGGAAACCAACUGGCAUAAGCCAGUAUCAUUGAGUGAAUACAUAGCUCAAUGAAGCGAACCGGGAGAACUGAAACAUCUAAGUACCCCGAGGAAAAGAAAUCAACCGAGAUUCCGAAAGUAGCGGCGAGCGAAAUUGGAUUAGCCCUUAAGCUUUACAUGUGUUAGACGAACGGUCUGGANNNNNNNNNNNNNNNNNNNNNNNNNNNNNNNNNNNNNNNNNNNNNNNNNGCCAUGGGCAGGUUGAAGGUUGAGUAACAUCAACUGGAGGACCGAACCGACUAAUGUUGAAAAAUUAGCGGAUGACUUGUGGCUAGGGGUGAAAGGCCAAUCAAACUCGGAGAUAGCUGGUUCUCCCCGAAAGCUAUUUAGGUAGCGCCUCGGACGAAUACUACUGGGGGUAGAGCACUGUUAAGGCUAGGGGGUCAUCCCGACUUACCAACCCUUUGCAAACUCCGAAUACCAGUAAGUACUAUCCGGGAGACACACGGCGGGNCUAAAUACUCCUGACUGACCGAUAGUGAACCAGUACCGUGAGGGAAAGGCGAAAAGAACCCCUGUGAGGGGAGUGAAAUAGAACCUGAAACCGUGUACGUACAAGCAGUAGGAGCACCUUCGUGGUGUGACUGCGUACCUUUUGUAUAAUGGGUCAGCGACUUAUAUUCAGUGGCAAGGUUAACCAUCUAGGGGAGCCGUAGGGAAACCGAGUCUUAACUGGGCGCCAUAGUCUCUGGAUAUAGACCCGAAACCGAGUGAUCUAGCCAUGGGCAGGUUGAAGGUUGAGUAACAUCAACUGGAGGACCGAACCGACUAAUGUUGAAAAAUUAGCGGAUGACUUGUGGCUAGGGGNGAGGGAAACAACCCAGACCGCCAGCUAAGGUCCCAAAUUACAGCUAAGUGGGAAACGAUGUGGGAAGGCUUAGACAGCUAGGAUGUUGGCUUAGAAGCAGCCAUCAUUUAAAGAAAGCGUAAUAGCUCACUAGUCGAGUCGGCCUGCGCGGAAGAUGUAACGGGGCUAAGUUGUAAACCGAAGCUGCGGCAAUGUUCUNNNNNAUCAGAAGUGCGAAUGCUGACAUGAGUAACGACAAGGGGGGUGAAAAACCUCCCCGCCGGAAGACCAAGGGUUCCUGUCCAACGUUAAUCGGGGCAGGGUAAGUCGACCCCUAAGGCGAGGCUGAAAAGCGUAGUCGAUGGGAAACGGGUUAAUAUUCCCGUACUUCUUACAAUUGCGAUGGGGGGACGGAGAAGGCUAGGNGUUUAGGUAAAUCCGGACACUCUUAAGGCUGAGACACGACGUCGAGCUACUACGGUAGUGAAGUCAUUGAUGCCAUGCUUCCAGGAAAAGCCUCUAAGCUUCAGAUUGUAAGGAAUCGUACCCCAAACCGACACAGGUGGUCGGGUAGAGAAUACCAAGGCGCUUGAGAGAACUCGGGUGAAGGAACUAGGCAAAAUGGUACCGUAACUUCGGGAGAAGGUACGCUCUUGAUGGUGAAGUCCCUUGCGGAUGGAGCUGACGAGAGUCGCAGAUACCAGGUGGCUGCAACUGUUUAUUAAAAACACAGCACUGUGCAAAAUCGUAAGAUGACGUAUACGGUGUGACGCCUGCCCGGUGCCGGAAGGUUAAUUGAUGGGGUUAGCGUAAGCGAAGCUCUUGAUCGAAGCCCCGGUAAACGGCGGCCGUAACUAUAACGGUCCUAAGGUAGCGAAAUUCCUUGUCGGGUAAGUUCCGACCUGCACGAAUGGCGUAAUGAUGGCCACGCUGUCUCCACCCGAGACUCAGUGAAAUUGAAAUCGCUGUGAAGAUGCAGUGUACCCGCGGCUAGACGGAAAGACCCCGUGAACCUUUACUACAGCUUGGNGGGCUAAUCACGGUUGGACAUCGUGAGGUUAGUGCAAUGGCAUAAGCCCGCUUAACUGCGAGAAUGACGGUUCGAGCAGGUGCGAAAGCAGGUCAUAGUGAUCCGGUGGUUCUGAAUGGAAGGGCCAUCGCUCAACGGAUAAAAGGUACUCCGGGGAUAACAGGCUGAUACCGCCCAAGAGUUCAUAUCGACGGCGGUGUUUGGCACCUCGAUGUCGGCUCAUCACAUCCUGGGGCUGAAGUCGGUCCCAAGGGUAUGGCUGUUCGCCAUUUAAAGGGGUACGCGAGCUGGGUUUAGAACGUCGUGAGACAGUUCGGUCCCUAUCUGCCGUGGGCGUUGGAAGAUUGAAGGGGGCUGCUCCUAGUACGAGAGGACCGGAGGGGACGAACCUCUGGUGUUCGGGUUGUGUCGCCAGACGCAUUGCCCGGUAGCUAAGUUCGGAAUCGAUAACCGCUGAAAGCAUCUAAGCGGGAAGCGAGCCCUGAGAUGAGUCUUCCCUGAUACUUUAAGUAUCCUNNNNNNNNNNNNNNNNNNNNNNNNNNNNNNNNNNNNGGAGCGGUAGUUCAGUUGGUUAGAAUACCGGCCUGUCACGCCGGGGGUCGCGGGUUCGAGUCCCGUCCGCUCCGCCACUUAUUUAG